This 556-nucleotide long non-coding RNA is filed under the name Mus caroli (Ryukyu mouse). RNAcentral describes it as "lncRNA (MGP_CAROLIEiJ_G0006394.1)". The record is from RNAcentral. Lineage: Eukaryota; Metazoa; Chordata; Mammalia; Rodentia; Muridae.
GACCAACGAAAUGAUCAGGCAGCAAUUUCUUUGUUCUGGAAAUUAGUUGAGACUAUUUAACAGCCUCGGGGGCCCUCCGCAGCACAGGGAACGAGGAUUCUCAGUAGAUAUUUCCUCUGCUGGAGGAGUAAAUCAUGUUGUGAGGAAAAUGAAACGGAGGAAGACUAGGACUAUUCAAAAUGAGGCCCAUACGCGGCUGCUGGUCCAUGUCUGGAUGAAGCCCAUGAGAUAAUCAGAAGACCUGAGCUGUGACAUUCAGGAACCUUGACAGUGAGACUGUGACAGUUGGCUGUCACAAUUUGCAAACAAGAUUGGGUUUUCCAUCUCUUUAUUAUUUCAGUUUCCUACUUUUGCUUGUUUAUUGCAUUUUUAACCAAUGCACUUGUCUGCAUUGCUCAACAGAGCUCCAGAGACUCCACAAGACUCACUGAUGCUACUGGGCUUCAAGAAAUCUCUUUACUGUCAUUAGAAUGUGCAUUGUCUCUGUGUUUUAAGGUGUAUGAGUCCACAUGAAUAUAGUCAGAAACACAGGACACAAGCAUUGAUUGUGGUUGCU